AUUUUAUUUAUUAGUCACAGACCACACAUAUUAUAAGUCACAAUUUAUUAAACAGUCACAAAUUAACAAUUUUAUAUGUCACAUGUUAUUUCUUGGUCACAAUUCCUUUUUCUUAUUGAUCACAUGUUGUUUAUUGAUCACAAAUUAAAUCAUUUGUGAUCGCCACCAACACUUGUGACAACUACUGCCGCCUGCAACAUUGAUGUCGCAACUGCCAUCACAAAAACCACCGCCACCAUCUCCCGGCAGCCCUGUCAUCUCAAAACACCGCAACGAGCACCACCUUACCACCAAUAAACCAAUUAGAAAAUCCCAACACCCCACAAAAUCGCCAACAGACCAAAUGGAGGCUCCACCACCAUCAAAACCAGCGCGGCGCCUCCACCACCACCACAACAUCACACCUCUCUAUACACAUAGAUCAAGAUCUAACCAUGAUCGGAGUUGUAGCAGCUACAAAUUAGCGCUAUGCGACGUGUACAGAUCUAGGCAACUCCAUCCGAUCGCUCCGAUGCUGAGCCUCAAUGCCCGAGGUGUCAUAGCAGAACAACCCCAAACUUUCACAUCCACCACAAAUCCACAAUUCCACCUCACUCAACCACAAAUUCACCACGUCCCCAUGAGCAACGACAGCACUAUGCGAUGACGAAUCUGGUCAUCAUAGUCGCUCGCUGGAGAAAC
Molecule: long non-coding RNA, 681 nt
Filed under: Olea europaea subsp. europaea
Lineage: Eukaryota; Viridiplantae; Streptophyta; Magnoliopsida; Lamiales; Oleaceae
Source: RNAcentral